AAGUCGUAACAAGGUCUCCGUUGGUGAACCAGCGGAGGGAUCAUUACAGAGUUGCAAAGCUCCCGAACCCCUGUGAACUUACCUAUUGUAGUUGCUUCGACGGGUGGCUUCAGGCGGAGCCGCCUGCUUCUGUUCGCAGAGGUACCCGUCAGAAGCCCACAAAACUCUUUGUGCUUUAGUGGCAUGUAUGACCAAAAGAAAAUUAAUGAGUCAAAACUUUCAACAACGGAUCUCUUGGUUCUG
RNAcentral lists this unclassified non-coding RNA (243 nucleotides) under Sordariales sp. RNAcentral describes it as "partial contains small subunit ribosomal RNA, internal transcribed spacer 1, and 5.8S ribosomal RNA". The stretch from base 1 to 46 matches the Rfam family "Eukaryotic small subunit ribosomal RNA", at positions 1786 to 1831 of the family's 1831-position model. Lineage: Eukaryota; Fungi; Ascomycota; Sordariomycetes; Sordariales. The record is from RNAcentral.